Molecule: long non-coding RNA, 337 nt
Organism: Xyrauchen texanus (razorback sucker)
Lineage: Eukaryota; Metazoa; Chordata; Actinopteri; Cypriniformes; Catostomidae
Exons: 3
Source: RefSeq, a predicted model, not a curated record
GUAGCGCCCCUUAGUGAUUGAUGAUCAUUACUGCCACUUACUGAGAGUAAGCGUAAGAGGAUGUUUAGUGCAAUCAACAGUGGGGUGGGCGGAGCUACCAUGCAAAUAGCCACCAGAUCGACAGAGAUUGACUAGCCAAACGAACUCAUGGUGAAUCACCAUCCACUUUCCUUGAAUGGAAAAUAGAAUCUCAGACAGAGCGUAAUAUGGUGUCGGAAUAGGGCUUCAUGUCACUCCACUGGCUCAUGAUUGGAAUGGAAUGGAACAGAUAAAGUCGCUGAAACACAUUAGGGUAUCUAUGGGUUUGCAGAGCUGGAGAAAUGUUCCUGCCCUCGAG